Molecule: ribosomal RNA, 2923 nt
Filed under: Klebsiella pneumoniae
Lineage: Bacteria; Pseudomonadati; Pseudomonadota; Gammaproteobacteria; Enterobacterales; Enterobacteriaceae
Description: bacterial LSU rRNA
Rfam family: Bacterial large subunit ribosomal RNA
Source: RNAcentral
GGGUUGUGAGGUUAAGCGACUAAGCGUACACGGUGGAUGCCCUGGCAGUCAGAGGCGAUGAAGGACGUGCUAAUCUGCGAAAAGCGUCGGUAAGGUGAUAUGAACCGUUAUAACCGGCGAUGUCCGAAUGGGGAAACCCAGUGCAAUUCGUUGCACUAUCGUUAACUGAAUACAUAGGUUAACGAGGCGAACCGGGGGAACUGAAACAUCUAAGUACCCCGAGGAAAAGAAAUCAACCGAGAUUCCCCCAGUAGCGGCGAGCGAACGGGGAGCAGCCCAGAGUCUGAAUCAGCUUGUGUGUUAGUGGAACGGUCUGGAAAGUCCGACGGUACAGGGUGAUAGUCCCGUACACCAAAAUGCACAGGCUGUGAACUCGAAGAGUAGGGCGGGACACGUGGUAUCCUGUCUGAAUAUGGGGGGACCAUCCUCCAAGGCUAAAUACUCCUGACUGACCGAUAGUGAACCAGUACCGUGAGGGAAAGGCGAAAAGAACCCCGGCGAGGGGAGUGAAAAAGAACCUGAAACCGUGUACGUACAAGCAGUGGGAGCACCUUCGGGUGUGACUGCGUACCUUUUGUAUAAUGGGUCAGCGACUUAUAUUCUGUAGCAAGGUUAACCGUAUAGGGGAGCCGCAGGGAAACCGAGUCUUAACUGGGCGUUAAGUUGCAGGGUAUAGACCCGAAACCCGGUGAUCUAGCCAUGGGCAGGUUGAAGGUUGGGUAACACUAACUGGAGGACCGAACCGACUAAUGUUGAAAAAUUAGCGGAUGACUUGUGGCUGGGGGUGAAAGGCCAAUCAAACCGGGAGAUAGCUGGUUCUCCCCGAAAGCUAUUUAGGUAGCGCCUCGUGAACUCAUCUUCGGGGGUAGAGCACUGUUUCGGCUAGGGGGUCAUCCCGACUUACCAACCCGAUGCAAACUACGAAUACCGAAGAAUGUUAUCACGGGAGACACACGGCGGGUGCUAACGUCCGUCGUGAAGAGGGAAACAACCCAGACCGCCAGCUAAGGUCCCAAAGUCAUGGUUAAGUGGGAAACGAUGUGGGAAGGCACAGACAGCCAGGAUGUUGGCUUAGAAGCAGCCAUCAUUUAAAGAAAGCGUAAUAGCUCACUGGUCGAGUCGGCCUGCGCGGAAGAUGUAACGGGGCUAAACCAUGCACCGAAGCUGCGGCAGCGACACUAUGUGUUGUUGGGUAGGGGAGCGUUCUGUAAGCCUGCGAAGGUGACCUGUGAGGGUUGCUGGAGGUAUCAGAAGUGCGAAUGCUGACAUAAGUAACGAUAAAGCGGGUGAAAAGCCCGCUCGCCGGAAGACCAAGGGUUCCUGUCCAACGUUAAUCGGGGCAGGGUGAGUCGACCCCUAAGGCGAGGCCGAAAGGCGUAGUCGAUGGGAAACAGGUUAAUAUUCCUGUACUUGGUGUUACUGCGAAGGGGGGACGGAGAAGGCUAUGUUAGCCGGGCGACGGUUGUCCCGGUUUAAGCAUGUAGGCUGGUUGUCCAGGCAAAUCCGGAUAAUCAAGGCUGAGGUGUGAUGACGAGGCACUACGGUGCUGAAGUAACAAAUGCCCUGCUUCCAGGAAAAGCCUCUAAGCAUCAGGUAACAUCAAAUCGUACCCCAAACCGACACAGGUGGUCAGGUAGAGAAUACCAAGGCGCUUGAGAGAACUCGGGUGAAGGAACUAGGCAAAAUGGUGCCGUAACUUCGGGAGAAGGCACGCUGGUGUGUAGGUGAAGUCCCUGCGGAUGGAGCUGAGACCAGUCGAAGAUACCAGCUGGCUGCAACUGUUUAUUAAAAACACAGCACUGUGCAAACACGAAAGUGGACGUAUACGGUGUGACGCCUGCCCGGUGCCGGAAGGUUAAUUGAUGGGGUUAUCCGUAAGGAGAAGCUCUUGAUCGAAGCCCCGGUAAACGGCGGCCGUAACUAUAACGGUCCUAAGGUAGCGAAAUUCCUUGUCGGGUAAGUUCCGACCUGCACGAAUGGCGUAAUGAUGGCCAGGCUGUCUCCACCCGAGACUCAGUGAAAUUGAACUCGCUGUGAAGAUGCAGUGUACCCGCGGCAAGACGGAAAGACCCCGUGAACCUUUACUAUAGCUUGACACUGAACAUUGAGCCUUGAUGUGUAGGAUAGGUGGGAGGCUUUGAAGCGUGGACGCCAGUCUGCGUGGAGCCAACCUUGAAAUACCACCCUUUAAUGUUUGAUGUUCUAACGUUGGCCCCUGACCGGGGUUGCGGACAGUGUCUGGUGGGUAGUUUGACUGGGGCGGUCUCCUCCCAAAGCGUAACGGAGGAGCACGAAGGUUAGCUAAUCCUGGUCGGACAUCAGGAGGUUAGUGCAAUGGCAUAAGCUAGCUUGACUGCGAGCGUGACGGCGCGAGCAGGUGCGAAAGCAGGUCAUAGUGAUCCGGUGGUUCUGAAUGGAAGGGCCAUCGCUCAACGGAUAAAAGGUACUCCGGGGAUAACAGGCUGAUACCGCCCAAGAGUUCAUAUCGACGGCGGUGUUUGGCACCUCGAUGUCGGCUCAUCACAUCCUGGGGCUGAAGUAGGUCCCAAGGGUAUGGCUGUUCGCCAUUUAAAGUGGUACGCGAGCUGGGUUUAGAACGUCGUGAGACAGUUCGGUCCCUAUCUGCCGUGGGCGCUGGAGAAUUGAGGGGGGCUGCUCCUAGUACGAGAGGACCGGAGUGGACGCAUCACUGGUGUUCGGGUUGUCAUGCCAAUGGCACUGCCCGGUAGCUAAAUGCGGAAGAGAUAAGUGCUGAAAGCAUCUAAGCACGAAACUUGCCCCGAGAUGAGUUCUCCCUGAGACUUUAAGUCUCCUGAAGGAACGUUGAAGACGACGACGUUGAUAGGCCGGGUGUGUAAGCGCAGCGAUGCGUUGAGCUAACCGGUACUAAUGAACCGUGAGGCUUAACCUUACAACGCCGAAG